GAAAUGCGAUAAGUAAUGUGAAUUGCAGAAUUCAGUGAAUCAUCGAAUCUUUGAACGCACAUUGCGCCUAUUAGUAUUCUAAUAGGCAUGCCUGUUCGAGCGUCAUUUCAACCCUUAAGCCCUGCUUAGUGUUGGGAGUCUACACCUGGGCGGACCUACCCUGUAGUGCCGUCCUCGUAGCUCCUCAAAUUUAGCGGCGGAGUUGUAGUAUCCUCUGAGCGUAGUAAUUAUCAUCUCGCUUUUGUUAGGUGCUACGGCCCUUGCCGUUAAACCCCCUAUUUUUUUGUGGUUGACCUCGGAUCAGGUAGGAAUACCCGCUGAACUUAA
This 327-nucleotide unclassified non-coding RNA is filed under the name uncultured Xylariales. RNAcentral describes it as "sequence contains ITS1". The stretch from base 1 to 105 matches the Rfam family "5.8S ribosomal RNA", at positions 50 to 154 of the family's 154-position model. The record is from RNAcentral. Lineage: Eukaryota; Fungi; Ascomycota; Sordariomycetes; Xylariales.